UACGUAGGGGCGCAAGCGUUAUCCGGAAUUAUUGGGCGUAAAGAGCUCGUAGGCGGUUUGUCGCGUCUGCUGUGAAAGACCGGGGCUCAACUCCGGUUCUGCAGUGGGUACGGGCAGACUAGAGUGCAGUAGGGGAGACUGGAAUUCCUGGUGUAGCGGUGAAAUGCGCAGAUAUCAGGAGGAACACCGAUGGCGAAGGCAGGUCUCUGGGCUGUAACUGACGCUGAGGAGCGAAAGCAUGGGGAGCGAACAGG
Molecule: ribosomal RNA, 254 nt
Filed under: uncultured bacterium
Lineage: Bacteria
Description: partial 16S ribosomal RNA
Rfam family: Bacterial small subunit ribosomal RNA
Source: RNAcentral